RNAcentral lists this ribosomal RNA (290 nucleotides) under uncultured Macrococcus sp. RNAcentral's name for it is "partial 16S ribosomal RNA". It matches the Rfam family "Bacterial small subunit ribosomal RNA", at positions 392 to 674 of the family's 1533-position model. The record is from RNAcentral. Lineage: Bacteria; Bacillati; Bacillota; Bacilli; Caryophanales; Staphylococcaceae.
CAACGCCGCGUGAGUGAAGAAGGUUUUCGGAUCGUAAAACUCUGUUGUAAGGGAAGAACAAGUACGUUAGUAACUGAACGUACCUUGACGGUACCUUACCAGAAAGCCACGGCUAACUACGUGCCAGCAGCCGCGGUAAUACGUAGGUGGCAAGCGUUAUCCGGAAUUAUUGGGCGUAAAGCGCGCGUAGGCGGUCUCUUAAGUCUGAUGUGAAAGCCCCCGGCUCAACCGGGGAGGGUCAUUGGAAACUGGGAGACUUGAGUGCAGAAGAGGAGAGUGGAAUUCCAUGU